This 433-nucleotide ribosomal RNA is filed under the name uncultured bacterium. RNAcentral describes it as "partial 16S ribosomal RNA". It matches the Rfam family "Bacterial small subunit ribosomal RNA", at positions 29 to 507 of the family's 1533-position model. The record is from RNAcentral.
AACGAACGCUGGCGGCAUGCCUAACACAUGCAAGUCGAACGAGACCUUCGGGUCUAGUGGCGCACGGGUGCGUAACGCGUGGGAACCUGCCCUUAGGUUCGGAAUAACUCCCCGAAAGGGGUGCUAAUGCCGGAUAAUGUCUUCGGACCAAAGAUUUAUCGCCUUUGGAUGGGCCCGCGUUGGAUUAGCUAGUUGGUAGGGUAAAAGCCUACCAAGGCGACGAUCCAUAGCUGGUCUGAGAGGAUGGUCAGCCACACUGGGACUGAGACACGGCCCAGACUCCUACGGGAGGCAGCAGUGGGGAAUAUUGGACAAUGGGCGAAAGCCUGAUCCAGCAAUGCCGCGUGAGUGAUGAAGGCCUUAGGGUUGUAAAGCUCUUUUACCCGGGAUGAUAAUGACAGUACCGGGAGAAUAAGCUCCGGCUAACUCCGUG